Molecule: non-coding RNA, 84 nt
Organism: Phlebopus sp. FC_14
Lineage: Eukaryota; Fungi; Basidiomycota; Agaricomycetes; Boletales; Boletinellaceae
Source: the annotation of a GenBank genome assembly
GGGCUCGUGGCGCAGUGGCUAGCGCGUGUGAUUCCAGUUUUCGGUAUAUCCACAAGGUCAUCCGUUCAAAUCGGGUCGAGCUCA